Molecule: ribosomal RNA, 324 nt
Filed under: uncultured Prevotella sp.
Lineage: Bacteria; Pseudomonadati; Bacteroidota; Bacteroidia; Bacteroidales; Prevotellaceae
Description: bacterial SSU rRNA
Rfam family: Bacterial small subunit ribosomal RNA
Source: RNAcentral
GAUGAACGCUAGCUACAGGCUUAACACAUGCAAGUCGCGGGGCAUCAUGACGAUAGCUUGCUAUUGUUGAUGGCGACCGGCGCACGGGUGAGUAACGCGUAUCCAACCUCGCCCCCAAGUAGGGCACAGCCCGGCGAAAGUCGGAUUAAUUCCCUAUGUGGUCAUGUUAUGGCAUCAGUAUAUGACUAAAGGCCUUUGGUUGCUUGGGGUUGGGGAUGCGUAGGAUUAGCUUGACGGCGGGUUGACAGCCCACCGUGGCGACGAUCCUUAGGGGUUCUGAGAGGAAGGUCCCCCACACUGGUACUGAGACACGGACCAGACUCC